UACGUAGGGUGCAAGCGUUGUCCGGAAUUAUUGGGCGUAAAGAGCUCGUAGGCGGCUCAGCAAGUCGGCUGUGAAAUCCCGAGGCUCAACCUCGGAACUGCAGUCGAUACUGUCGUGGCUAGAGUCUGGUAGAGGAGAAUGGAAUUCCCGGUGUAGCGGUGAAAUGCGCAGAUAUCGGGAGGAACACCAGUAGCGAAGGCGGUUCUCUGGGCCCCGACUGACGCUGAGGUACGAAAGCAUGGGGAGCAAACAGG
Molecule: unclassified non-coding RNA, 254 nt
Filed under: uncultured Acidimicrobiia bacterium
Lineage: Bacteria; Bacillati; Actinomycetota; Acidimicrobiia
Description: contains 16S-23S intergenic spacer region
Rfam family: Bacterial small subunit ribosomal RNA
Source: RNAcentral